Molecule: ribosomal RNA, 253 nt
Filed under: uncultured bacterium
Lineage: Bacteria
Description: partial 16S ribosomal RNA
Rfam family: Bacterial small subunit ribosomal RNA
Source: RNAcentral
UACGUAGGGUGCGAGCGUUAAUCGGAAUUACUGGGCGUAAAGCGCGUGUAGGCGGUUUGGUAAGUUCUGUGUGAAAGCCCUGGGCUCAACCCAGGAAGUGCGCAGAAUACUGCCUGACUGGAGUGACGGAGAGGAUGGCGGAAUUCCCGGUGUAGAGGUGAAAUUCGUAGAUAUGGGGAGGAACACCGGUGGCGAAGGCGGCCAUCUGGACGGAUACUGACGCUGAGACGCGAAAGCGUGGGUAGCAAACAGG